This 477-nucleotide ribosomal RNA is filed under the name Veillonella dispar. RNAcentral describes it as "bacterial SSU rRNA". It matches the Rfam family "Bacterial small subunit ribosomal RNA", at positions 28 to 474 of the family's 1533-position model. The record is from RNAcentral. Lineage: Bacteria; Bacillati; Bacillota; Negativicutes; Veillonellales; Veillonellaceae.
GACGAACGCUGGCGGCGUGCUUAACACAUGCAAGUCGAACGAAGAGCGAUGGAAGCUUGCUUCUAUCAAUCUUAGUGGCGAACGGGUGAGUAACGCGUAAUCAACCUGCCCUUCAGAGGGGGACAACAGUUGGAAACGACUGCUAAUACCGCAUACGAUCUAAUCUCGGCAUCGAGACUGGAUGAAAGGUGGCCUCUAUUUAUAAGCUAUCACUGAAGGAGGGGAUUGCGUCUGAUUAGCUAGUUGGAGGGGUAACGGCCCACCAAGGCGAUGAUCAGUAGCCGGUCUGAGAGGAUGAACGGCCACAUUGGGACUGAGACACGGCCCAGACUCCUACGGGAGGCAGCAGUGGGGAAUCUUCCGCAAUGGACGAAAGUCUGACGGAGCAACGCCGCGUGAGUGAUGACGGCCUUCGGGUUGUAAAGCUCUGUUAAUCGGGACGAAAGGCCUUCUUGCGAACAGUUAGAAGGAUUGACG